This 678-nucleotide ribosomal RNA is filed under the name uncultured Vibrionaceae bacterium. Its description in RNAcentral is "bacterial SSU rRNA". It matches the Rfam family "Bacterial small subunit ribosomal RNA", at positions 1 to 671 of the family's 1533-position model. The record is from RNAcentral. Lineage: Bacteria; Pseudomonadati; Pseudomonadota; Gammaproteobacteria; Vibrionales; Vibrionaceae.
CGCGGGAUUAGAGUUUGAUCAUGGCUCAGAUUGAACGCUGGCGGCGGGCCUAAUACAUGCAAGUCGAGCGGAAACGAUGGAGCUUGCUCCAGGCGUCGAGCGGCGGACGGGUGAGUAACGCGUAGGAAUCUACCCAGUAGAGGGGGAUAGCCCGAGGAAACUCGGAUUAAUACCGCAUACGCCCUACGGGGAAAGCAGGGGAUCUUCGGACCUUGCGCUAUUGGAUGAGCCUGCGUUGGACUAGCUUGUUGGUGGGGUAAAGGCCUACCAAGGCGACGAUCCAUAGCUGGUCUGAGAGGAUGAUCAGCCACACUGGGACUGAGACACGGCCCAGACUCCUACGGGAGGCAGCAGUAGGGAAUAUUGGACAAUGGGGGCAACCCUGAUCCAGCCAUGCCGCGUGUGUGAAGAAGGCCUUAGGGUUGUAAAGCACUUUCAGUAGGGAGGAAGGCCAUAAGGUUAAUAACCUUAUGGAUUGACGUUACCUACAGAAGCAGCACCGGCUAACUCCGUGCCAGCAGCCGCGGUAAUACGGAGGGUGCAUGCGUUAAUCGGAAUUACUGGGCGUAAAGCGCGCGUAGGCGGUUUGUUAAGUGAGAUGUGAAAGCCCAGGGCUCAACCUUGGAACUGCAUCUCAUACUGGCAGGCUAGAGUACUGUAGAGGGGGGUAGAAUUUCA